UACGUAGGGGGCAAGCGUUAUCCGGAUUUACUGGGUGUAAAGGGAGCGUAGACGGUUUAGCAAGUCUGAUGUGAAAACCCGGGGCUCAACUCCGGGAUUGCAUUGGAAACUGUUAGACUUGAGUGCAGGAGAGGUAAGUGGAAUUCCUAGUGUAGCGGUGAAAUGCGUAGAUAUUAGGAGGAACACCGGCGGCGAAGGCGGCUUACUGGACUGUAACUGACGUUGAGGCUCGAAAGCGUGGGGAG
RNAcentral lists this ribosomal RNA (245 nucleotides) under uncultured Lachnospiraceae bacterium. RNAcentral's name for it is "partial 16S ribosomal RNA". It matches the Rfam family "Bacterial small subunit ribosomal RNA", at positions 524 to 768 of the family's 1533-position model. Lineage: Bacteria; Bacillati; Bacillota; Clostridia; Lachnospirales; Lachnospiraceae. The record is from RNAcentral.